This 84-nucleotide microRNA precursor is filed under the name Chlorocebus sabaeus (green monkey). RNAcentral's name for it is "miRNA (ENSCSAG00000022593.1)". Lineage: Eukaryota; Metazoa; Chordata; Mammalia; Primates; Cercopithecidae. The record is from RNAcentral.
CCUGCCUGCAGAAAGGAGCUACCCACUCCAGGUCUCCUCUCCACUGAGAGCUGGACUUGUUGGGAUGACCUGCCUGUGGAAAGG